AGAGCGAACGCUGGCGGAAUGCUUAACACAUGCAAGUCGCACGGUCAGCAAUGGCAGUGGCGGACGGGUGAGUAACGCGUAGGAAUAUGUCCAGAGGUGGGGGACAACCCCGGGAAACUGGGGCUAAUACCGCAUAUGAGCUGAGGCUCAAAGCAGUGAUGCGCCUUUGGAUUAGCCCGCGUAGGAUUAGCUAGUUGGUGAGGUAAUGGCUCACCAAGGCUCCGAUCCUUAGCUGUUCUGAGAGGAAGAUCAGCCACACUGGGACUGAGACACGGCCCAGACUCCUACGGGAGGCAGCAGUUGGGAAUCUUGGACAAUGGGGGAAACCCUGAUCCAGCCAUGCCGCGUGAGUGAUGAAGGCCUUCGGGUUGUAAACUCUUUCGACGGGACGAUAAUGACGGUACCCGUAGAAGAAGCUCCGGCUAACUUCGUGCCAGCAGCCGC
This 444-nucleotide ribosomal RNA is filed under the name uncultured bacterium. RNAcentral describes it as "SSU rRNA". It matches the Rfam family "Bacterial small subunit ribosomal RNA", at positions 26 to 518 of the family's 1533-position model. The record is from RNAcentral.